AGUUUGAUCCUGGCUCAGGAUGAACGCUGGCGGCACGCUUAACACAUGCAAGUCGAACGAGGUCCAUGGAGCUUGCUCCGGAAGACUUAGUGGCGAACGGGUGCGUAACACGUGAGAAAUCUGCCCCGGACUCUGGGAUAACAGUUGGAAACGGCUGCUAAUACCGGAUGCCUUCAUUUUGCCGCAUGGCUUUGUGAAGAAAGAUUUAUCGGUUUGGGAGGAUCUCGCGGCCUAUCAGCUUGUUGGAGAGGUAACGGCUCACCAAGGCAUCGACGGGUAGCUGGUCUGAGAGGAUGAUCAGCCACACUGGAACUGAGACACGGUCCAGACUCCUACGGGAGGCAGCAGUGGGGAAUCUUGCACAAUGGGCGAAAGCCUGAUGCAGCGAUGCCGCGUGCGGGAAGAAGGCCUUAGGGUUGUAAACCGCUUUCAGGAGGGAAGAAAUGACGGUACCUCCAGAAGAAGGUGCGGCCAACUACGUGCCAGCAGCCGCGGUGACACGUAGGCACCAAGCGUUAUCCGGAUUUAUUGGGCGUAAAGAGCUCGUAGGCGGUUUGGUAAGUCGGGUGUGAAAACUCUGGGCUCAACCCAGAGAGGCCACUCGAUACUGCUAUGACUAGAGUACGGUAGGGGAGCGGGGAAUUCCUGGUGUAGCGGUGAAAUGCGCAGAUAUCAGGAGGAACACCAGCGGCGAAGGCGCCGCUCUGGGCCGUAACUGACGCUGAGGAGCGAAAGCAUGGGUAGCAAACAGGAUUAGAUACCCUGGUAGUCCAUGCCGUAAACGUUGGGCACUAGGUGUGGGUCUCAACCAACGAGAUCCGCGCCGUCGCUAACGCAUUAAGUGCCCCGCCUGGGGAGUACGGUCGCAAGACUAAAACUCAAAGGAAUUGACGGGGGCCCGCACAAGCAGCGGAGCGUGUUGCUUAAUUCGAUGCAACGCGAAGAACCUUACCUGGGUUUGACAUGUAGAGAAAAGCUCUAGAGAUAGGGUGUCCUUCGGGGCUUUACACAGGUGGUGCAUGGCUGUCGUCAG
This 1033-nucleotide ribosomal RNA is filed under the name uncultured Actinomycetes bacterium. RNAcentral's name for it is "bacterial SSU rRNA". It matches the Rfam family "Bacterial small subunit ribosomal RNA", at positions 10 to 1058 of the family's 1533-position model. The record is from RNAcentral. Lineage: Bacteria; Bacillati; Actinomycetota; Actinomycetes.